Molecule: ribosomal RNA, 397 nt
Filed under: uncultured bacterium
Lineage: Bacteria
Description: partial 16S ribosomal RNA
Rfam family: Bacterial small subunit ribosomal RNA
Source: RNAcentral
AUACGUAGGGGGCAAGCGUUAUCCGGAUUUACUGGGUGUAAAGGGCGCGUAGGCGGGGGUGCAAGUCAGAUAUGAAAUCUAUGGGCUUAACUCAUAAACUGCAUUUGAAACUGUAUCUCUUGAGUGCUGGAGAGGUAGACGGAAUUCCUUGUGUAGCGGUGAAAUGCGUAGAUAUAAGGAAGAACACCAGUGGCGAAGGCGGUCUACUGGACAGUAACUGACGCUGAGGCGCGAAAGCGUGGGGAGCAAACAGGAUUAGAUACCCUGGUAGUCCACACUGUAAACGAUGAAUGCUAGGUGUAAGAGGUAUCGACCCCUUUUGUGCCGGAGUUAACACAAUAAGCAUUCCGCCUGGGGAGUACGGCCGCAAGGUUGAAACUCAAAUGAAUUGGCGGGG